UCCCUCCCUCUUGACGAACUGUGAUGGCAUUAAUUUGUUGUCGCAGGGAAUCAGGACUGUUACUUUGAAAAAAUUAGAGUGUUUAAAGCAGGCUUUCGCUUGAAUACAUUAGCAUGGAAUAAUGAAAUAGGACGUUUGAUCCUAUUUUGUUGGUUUCUAGGAUUGACGUAAUGAUUAAUAGGGAUAGUUGGGA
This 193-nucleotide ribosomal RNA is filed under the name uncultured fungus. RNAcentral's name for it is "partial 18S ribosomal RNA". It matches the Rfam family "Eukaryotic small subunit ribosomal RNA", at positions 693 to 887 of the family's 1831-position model. The record is from RNAcentral. Lineage: Eukaryota; Fungi.